GCAUCACCUCUUCCCCUCCGGCCAUGACGAGCUCUGCCCUCUCCGUCGCGAGCGGCGGCGGUGCAUCUCAGCGGAGGUUCCAGGAAGACGCAGGUCUGAGCUCUCCUCUUCUCCGCCGAUCUGUGCCGCUGUUUUCAGCCGCCGUAGGCGCCUCCAUUCCCCGUCGCAGCCGCCUCUGGUUCCCACCUCAGCCACCUCUGGUUCCCACUUGUCCCCAAAUCCCAUCUUAUCUAUCGUCUCUCUUCCUACUCAGAUUAGCCCAGGUGGGCGAGGCCAUGGUGACACAGAAGGACGCCGCCGUACGAAUUGACGACGAGGCAAAACCCUAGGACGUGAACACGUGCGAGUUCAAUAGGAGGCGCACAACUCUGGUCCAAGCUGCAGCGUCCUUGCUGCUGCAUCAGCCAUUUGCCGGCGGUACUGCGUGUAUUCGCAACCGCAGGUCACCUCUCCAGCCAUCUGCAAGGUAAAGAUAGUCAUGAACAUGUCCAGAUUGUUAACUCGGUUACCCCCGAUUUGGCAUCUGGGGGCAGAGGCAUGUCUGACAAUUCAAACAAUAAGUUUAUGCUAGCCUGUUGCUAUCUCCUACACUAUGGAGGAAGUACUAUUGAACAUUGGGAGUCUGAGAGUGCGCUGCAUAUUAUUUGGUGUGAAAAAGAAUAGAGUGAAGAAUUGAAGAGGAUCAUGCAAUCAGUCAGCACUCAUCAAUGAAAAAAGGAGACAGGAGACAGUAGGGCACUAUUUUUGUGGAUUUGUCCAUAUAUUAUAGAGGAUGGUGCACUACUGAAUACAAUCAGCGGCUAUCUCCUGUUGCAUUUCUUCUCAUCCGACAUAUGAGGUCCAUUUUAUGGAUCAGUUCUCUGUGUGGCAGUAAUUCAAGGCCAAAUAUGUACCAUGUUUCUUCAAUGCAUGGAAAGUAUUUCCUUUUGCCUUUUUAUGUUUGUACAUUCAGAGAAAACUUCAUACAUUUUAUUGCUGCAUUGCUAGAUUUCUUUUAGGAGAAAAUAUAAUUUGGUUUUAUUUAUUUCUGGAUCAAAAACUUUAGGAUACCUAUCAUUUUAGUUUACCUUGCUAGAUUAGGCUGAUUAGUACUGUUGUUUUCUUGCAGGUGUGCUUCUCAUUCUUUUGUUGCUAUGUACACUCGCCCAGGUGUGCUUUUCAAGGUUUAUAUUAUUCUAAUUUGUGGUUAUUGAUUUUGUCUUCUGGUGUCAAACAACAAUUAGCAGAGUGGUUUGGGGAAGUUGAGUAGCCAGUUUAGCUUCCGCAAUUCAUGUGUAUUCUUUAUGCUCUGUCAUGCACACAAGAUUACCUUUCCUGAAUUUAGCUCCAACCAACAGUAAGUACUGCAUCUACCUUUAACAAUUUUGCAAUUUAUGGAUUGAAGGAGAUUAAGAAGUUUCUAAUUCAUGAUUACCUCAUUCGUUUCUCUCAAAUUCCAUUUACUUGCGAGGUCACCAUGCUUUCUGUUUUUUCCUUUUUAAAUAGUUAUGAUGCACUCCGUCUCUCCCUCAUGCGGCUCUGGCUGGCAUGGCCUCGCUCGCCUCGGUCUUCGUCGGCUCCGGUGAGGCGGGCCGUGGGUGUCAGCCCCGUCCUUCAUCGGCGGCGCGCUGGCAGUCCCGGUACUCUCUCUGCCCGCCACCCUCCCUCUACCCUGCCUCUUCUCCUUCCAGUUUUUUUCAUCCCGUUUGCUUUUAUGUGUGUGUCUCUCUACUGCUUGGGAGGGGAAAAGAUGGAGUUCGUUGGGAGAUGGGUUUGUGCUGGGAUCCCCUCUCCCCCAUGGCAUUACUGACUAAAUCCUCAAGGCCUAUGAAAUUUCUUCAAGUUUAGGUCUGGAAUCAUCUCCUUCUCCCCGUGCAGCUCAUCCUCGCCGGCAGGAGGAGCAUGGGCCGCGGCCGUCACCUGCCAUGGCACCCCCGUCGUGACCCUCAACGCCAAGAACAAGUCCACUUGCAGGCUAGAUGCGGGUCAAUUAUAAUCGCAUGGGACUACCAACUCACAGGUUUAUCUCUCCCUACUAAUCCAGGUGCAUCUCCAUAGUCAUCUUGCCCUCCACAAUUUUAUUUCAUAAAAGGUCAAGGCCAAGGUAAAAGUGCAGCCAAACUCCUCCUAUCUGAUUUAGCCCCUAGAAUCUAGAACAUCUCAUCUUUGCUUAUGCAAAUCUGUUUUGUCUAUGACUAGGUGCUCGAUUAAAAUCCUUGCUAAGAUAUGUUAUAUUUAUGCUCCACUGUACCAGGAUGUUAAGGAGAGAGAUUUUAUGUGAGCUUAUAUUCUAUACUUCUAUCCUUUCUCACUAACAAUGAAUGUGUUGUUCUUCCUGGUUCGGCUAGGCAUGAAGCACAAUUAUCCCUAGAAGCUUUUGGGAAUGUCUUGGCCAAUACAGGCUGUGAUAAGAUGUGUGACUAACUAUGUCCAGAAGCUUUUGGGAAUUCUCACUAACACAAUUAUUCACGCUUUAUUUAAUGCUUGCUUAUCACAUUGGCACAAGUUUCCUGACUGCUCUAUUUACUCUCUAUGCCAGUUUUAUUCGUUCAUGUCAAUGGCCUGGCCAUUACCAUUAUGUGUUACAGCUUGGUUGACGGUUUUUUUUUCUCCUGCUUGUUGCUUUUUUUUCGGUAAUGUCAUGUACAUAUCAUAGUCUAGGAAAAACCUAGCCGGCAUGAACUAGAAUGAGUAUGCACUGUGUUUCGGCAACCAUGUGGCUUGAUCUCUAUAUGUUUCCCUCUUUUCAUUACUAUUGCACAUAUCAUUGAUUGUGUUCUUUGUCAUCUGUUGAAUUGGUCCAAAACUAAGUUCAUUUCUUGUAAUGAAAAAUCAUUGAAUUACUGUCUGAAAAUAAUAACAUUUUCAUUUGUUUUAUCAAUGGAUGAAUCUCCAGACUUGGGUUUCCAAUUAUGCUAUAUCCAACUAAAAAUAUUUCUUUGGUAAAUUCAUGCUUGACUUACUUGGGAAGGUAUUGUUGUGUAAACAUGAAAGCUUACUUUUUGUGCAGGUAAGAAAAGUGUCCUAUUCUUCCAUGGAAUGUGCGCUGGUGUUCAGAUGCAAGCUUGAUAAUCUCUAUGUGAUAUGUAUGUAGGUUUAUUUUUUGGUAUGGCUAGCUCUAUUGUGCACCUCUUUCCUAAUGUAUGAUGCAUUUAUAUGGCUACUGUGUUUCAUUAAUUUUCGUUUUCUCAGGGCUUACAUCGACCAUCACUUAACUGCAGGAGCGAAACUACAUUCAGGGAAUUGGCUUCAGAGAUCUACAGAUAUUCAGCGCUCAAGCUUCCUGCAGCAGUUGAUGCAGUUGCAGAUACAUCUUAUUUAGCUUAGAUCAUCCUACUGCAUUAUUAUGUAUAUUUUUUCGUUACCAGUUUGCUCUAUACUAUAUUACUAAAGAUAUUUCCUUCAGUGUGCUCUCUGUUUAGUUGUAGUCAGCGUAUUGAGGUCUGUCCUUUAUCUCAUUUGUCUUUGUACUACUCCAGAUCAUCAUAGCCAGUUCACUUAGUGAUGACCUUUUCAGUUUCACCUUAUUCAGUUUUUUUACUUUGUGUUAUUUAGUUUUUUUACUUUGACUUUUCAGUUUCACCUUAUUCAUAUGGGCGUAAUGUGCAAAAUUCAGUGUAUCAGGCAAACUGAACCUAAAAUUCAGAACACUGUGCCUGCCCUUCACCAACUCCUCUUUGUGCUUGAUGUUGACCGGCGGUAGAGCUCAAUCGUCGUUGGAACCAACCAGCAAGAGAAGAAAAAUAGAAACACUAAAUUACAUCAGCGAGAAAGAGAGAAACCUGCAGCGCCCUUGGAAUCUUCAGCAGUGGUCGCAACACAACUGGGCUGGAGCUCAAAUCGGUAGUUGUUUCGUUGCUCAACCUGGGUUAGAGACGAACCCGAGCUGAGCUCUGGGCGCGGAGAAGUCAGAAGACGAACUCCAGCAGCCAUCUGACAACUCGCCACCCGCCACUCCGUCGUGGCAUCGUCGGACCAGACGGCAAGAGCUUUGGGGAAUGAGAAGAAGUGUUGAGAAGAAUCACGGAGUUUGGUCAAUGACUCAACCGAUUGGAUUAUUUGGGCCUCCUGGGCUAAAGGCCACGGUAGUACAAGUAUUAGGGGUACUAGAAAAUUUGUAAUUUUGCUAGAGGGCCACGACCCAGGUUGGCUGUGUACAGAAUGAAGUUU
Molecule: long non-coding RNA, 4149 nt
Organism: Lolium rigidum
Lineage: Eukaryota; Viridiplantae; Streptophyta; Magnoliopsida; Poales; Poaceae
Exons: 6
Source: RefSeq, a predicted model, not a curated record